This is a long non-coding RNA of Arvicola amphibius (Eurasian water vole), 244 nucleotides long. RefSeq lists it as uncharacterized. The transcript has 2 exons. The record is from RefSeq and is a predicted model, not a curated record. Lineage: Eukaryota; Metazoa; Chordata; Mammalia; Rodentia; Cricetidae.
UGAUAUCCACUUCCUGGAGGACACACCCACCUCUACUCCCAAUGAUCAGUCAUGAUGGGGCUUGACAACAGAGUUUAUGGAAAAACAGAGAUGUACAUCCCCUAUGGAGCCAUGUGAUGCAGCACACAGGAGCAACGGGAGAGACGUGAGAGCUAACUGACAGCAACCAACUACUGUCUUCAGGAGCGAAGGGAGCCUACCCUACCCAAGGGGCCAUCUUCUCAAUAAAGUCACCUCCUUUGAA